This 238-nucleotide ribosomal RNA is filed under the name uncultured bacterium. Its description in RNAcentral is "partial small subunit ribosomal RNA". It matches the Rfam family "Bacterial small subunit ribosomal RNA", at positions 26 to 285 of the family's 1533-position model. The record is from RNAcentral.
AGGAUAAACGCUGGCGGCGUGCCUAACACAUGCAAGUCGAACGUCCUACGCAAGUAGGGAGUGGCGGACGGGUGAGCAACACGUGGGCAAUCUACCUUUCGGUGAGGAAUACCGGCGAGAAAUCGCCGACAAUACCGCAUACGCUUCGCAAGAAGCAAAGUCGCAAGACGCCGGAGGAGGAGCCUGCGCCCGAUUAGCUGGUUGGUGGAGUAAUGGUCUACCAAGGCGACGACGGGUA